Long non-coding RNA from Triticum aestivum (bread wheat), 1164 nucleotides. RefSeq lists it as uncharacterized. The transcript has 3 exons. Lineage: Eukaryota; Viridiplantae; Streptophyta; Magnoliopsida; Poales; Poaceae. The record is from RefSeq and is a predicted model, not a curated record.
UGCCGCCGCUCGAUACAGAAAGUGGAUCGGUGCCGCGAGCGAUACAGAGGAGGGGAUCCAAUCGAUGCGCGCAUGACGUGGGCGACGCGUCUUCUAACGGGAGCCAGCCGACCCGCCGAAGGAAAUUCAGCAGACGCGCCGGUGCAGUUGGGGAUCCAGCGGAUGCGCGCGAUGCGGGUGACUCAGGGGCCGCUCUAUCCAGUCGACGAGGGGACGCAAGCUGGCCGACGCCUCGUCUGAUCUAAAACGCUCCGUUGAGACUUGAAAGCUGCAACGAUACUUCAGUUUCUGCGUCCAUUCAUGGCGGGUGAUGUGCCGAUCCUUUUCGCUGCCGAGGGGUAGUACAUCUAUAUAUAUUCUUCCUUCCCUAUCAAUCUCCGCUCACCUUUUCCACUCCGGCAGCACAUCUUUCAGCAAGAUGCUCGGGUAGGUUUCUCUAAAUUUCUUUCACUUCAUGUAUGAUUCAAUGUUGCACCAACCAAAUACAUGCCUGUACAUCAGGGCGUUGGUUCCUCCCCUGCAGCACAAUAUCCAUCAGGGCGUUGCUUCACUAGGUUCCUAUAUAUUUUCUUUCCUAUUCAUGUAUGAUUCCUUCUUUCACCAAACAAAUACAUUGUCCUCAUAUCCUCUCAAUCCUAAAUUUUUAUAGGUGUUGUUCAUAUUGGCCAUGGUCAAUCCAUCUGGGCAGAUCUUGCAGAAUGGUGCCUGCUCUUCAUACAUCUCGCACUCUGUUGUCUCAUUGUAACGCAGAAAAACCGCUGAAAAGGUUCAGUUAUGUUGCGUGUGGGUGUGCAUGUCGCCACAUUCAGAGCUUCAAAGAAGCAGCCUCAGGAAGCUAUAGCUUGCAUGGAAGGAGUCUGGCGCCGUCCGUUUCAAGCCUACCAGUGAUCGGAUCGCCGGGAGACAUUAAUUGAGAUGUUGAGGAUCUGAAAACGUAUGGACCAGCAGAUCUUCAAUUGCAAGGGUAUUAGAAAAACAAGAAAACAAAACAACUUAGGCUGCUACCAGGCUAAGGGUGGUGCUGAUUAUUGACAUUAAAAGUAAUGAAGAUGCACAUAUUCUGGUUUAGUAGAGACUAGAGAGGUGUCAAGUGUGGUGUUUGCAAGAUCUGCAACCUCUCGUGUUGAGAGUUACAUCGCACGAUUUUAAUACUACCUCUUAACC